AGGUACUCCAUUGUCUGAUGGAUCUGAGAACGCUGUCUGGGCUUGGUACCAAGAGCUGGUAUUUCACAGCAGCGACCGCCUCACAGACGAGCUGUGGGAAGCAGGAGGGAGACUCUCUCUUAGGGUGCCACUACUAUGGAGACACAGCUGGGCUGAACAAGAUUUGCUUCAAACGACAACAAGAGAGACAGAAAGUAUCUGGUUCAACCGCUGCCCGAGCAGGCAGGCACCAGAAGAGCUAGCAGCCAAUCCGGCCAUGCUCGAAGCCAGCUCUGCAGCUCAGCCAAUCAGUGACAUCAUUGCUUUCUUUAGCUUGCCCAUGGUGAUGUGAAGAUGAGAAGAAAUAGCAAGGCCCAACCAGUUCUUCAUCUGGAGACAGUUCAACGUUCUGCAAACCAGAUCUUCAGGAAUUUUACUGGGAUAAUUAUCCAAAUAAAUUGCAAGCAUUCUAUCCAAAUGGAGCUCUUUCUGAGAUGAAGAGAAUUCUCAAUGUCAAGAUUUGAACAAGAAGAGAAUGGAAUACACAAUAUGGACAUCCAUAAAAAUUCAUCAGAGAGCAUUUUACUACUGAGCUGCAAAGGGAAAAACUUAAAAUGGAUAUGAAAAGUGAAGAAAGUGAUCAUAGGAGAAAACCAUUUCAGAUAUCUGUGGAUAUCUCUCCAGAACUUCAUGUAUAUGUAAGUGACUUGCUCCCAAUUCUUUCACAUUUUAUCAAUAUCAGCUGUGUUUUGCUUAAAAAAUGAGCCUUACCUAACUAAAAUUUCUACUGUAAUAAAGCAAGUUAAUUGUAGUGAAAUCUAAUUAUCUGUUUACUAUGAUUUCAUUAUAAAUCUUGUGGGUUUUUUUUUCUUACAUUGUCCUUAUGUAUUAGCACCUGUGGUAAGAUAUAUUGAUCACAGUUUCAUCAGAUAGGCAUACUGCUUCAAUAUUGUUUGAAAAAAAUCUUUAUCUUUCAGCUUCAUAUUCUAGGAGGAACCAAAUGUAACAUUUACUUUUCAUUUUGAUUGCAUAUUAACUUGAGGUCAUAAUCUUGCUUUAACAAUCCAUCUCUUCUAAUUAUAGAUAUAGGAGGUAUGGAAGUAUGUGUUUGCCACAGAACAAACCCUGGAUAUAUUUCCAUCUUGCUUAUAAAACUUGUCUUUAUGUAAAUGUUUAAAUAAGAUAUUUUAGGAUAAAUGGUUUUUAUCAUUGCCUAUUAUGUCAUUUUCUAUUAAAAGUGAAUUUUAUACUUAAUUGACUCUGAUUCUUAAGGCAUUAAAUUCUAGUCCAUUCUUCUUAUGAGAUAGGGUUAGUAAAAUAAGUUAGUUUUAUGGGAUCAAAAGCUACAAACAGGCUGGGCAUGCUGGCUCAUACCUGUAAUGCCUGCACUUUGGGAGACUAAGGCAGGAGGAUCGCUUGAGGCUAGAAGUUUGAGACCAGCCAGUGCAAUAUAGCAAGACCCCUGUCUCUAUAAAGAAAAAAAAUCAAGUAAAAA
Molecule: long non-coding RNA, 1474 nt
Filed under: Homo sapiens (human)
Lineage: Eukaryota; Metazoa; Chordata; Mammalia; Primates; Hominidae
Description: mir-99a-let-7c cluster host gene
Source: RNAcentral